RNAcentral lists this ribosomal RNA (459 nucleotides) under uncultured bacterium. RNAcentral describes it as "partial 16S ribosomal RNA". It matches the Rfam family "Bacterial small subunit ribosomal RNA", at positions 339 to 795 of the family's 1533-position model. The record is from RNAcentral.
CUACGGGCUGCAGCAGUGAGGAAUAUUGGUCAAUGGGCGCAAGCCUGAACCAGCCAUCCCGCGUGCAGGAAGACGGCGCUAUGCGUUGUAAACUGCUUUUCCAGGGGAAGAAAACUCCCGACGUGUCGGGAUUUGCCGGUACCCUGGGAAUAAGCAUCGGCUAACUCCGUGCCAGCAGCCGCGGUAAUACGGAGGAUGCGAGCGUUAUCCGGAUUUAUUGGGUUUAAAGGGUGCGUAGGCGGAUUAAUAAGUCAGUGGUGAAAACCUGCAGCUUAACUGUAGAAUUGCCAUUGAUACUGUUAGUCUUGAGUACGGUCAAGGUAGGCGGAAUGUGUAAUGUAGCGGUGAAAUGCUUAGAUAUUACACAGAACACCGAUUGCGAAGGCAGCUUACUGGGCCAUUACUGACGCUGAGGCACGAAAGCGUGGGGAGCGAACAGGAUUAGAUACCCCAGUAGUC